Molecule: ribosomal RNA, 256 nt
Filed under: uncultured bacterium
Lineage: Bacteria
Description: partial 16S ribosomal RNA
Rfam family: Bacterial small subunit ribosomal RNA
Source: RNAcentral
GACGAACCGUGCGAACGUUAUUCGGAAUCACUGGGCUUAAAGCGCGUGUAGGCGGGCGGGAACGUCGGUCGCUGAAAUCCCCCGGCUCAACCGGGGAAGGGGCGCCGAAACGGCUCGCCUGGAGGGACGUAGGGGGGGCUGGAACUUCCGGUGGAGCGGUGAAAUGCGUUGAGAUCGGAAGGAACGCCCGUGGCGAAAGCGAGCCCCUGGACGUUUUUCUGACGCUGAGACGCGAAAGCCAGGGGAGCGAACGGGG